GACGAACGCUGGCGGCGUGCUUAACACAUGCAAGUCGAACGGAAAGGCCCCUUUGGGGGUACUCGAGUGGCGAACGGGUGAGUAACACGUGAGUAACCUGCCCUUGACUUCGGUAUAACUUCAGGAAACUGGGGCUAAUACCGGAUAGGAAUCCUUGCUGCAUGGUGGGGGUUGGAAAGCUUCGGCGGUUUUGGAUGGACUCGCGGCUUAUCAGCUUGUUGGUGGGGUAGUGGCUUACCAAGGCUUUGACGGGUAGCCGGCCUGAGAGGGCGACCGGCCACAUUGGGACUGAGAUACGGCCCAGACUCCUACGGGAGGCAGCAGUGGGGAAUAUUGCACAAUGGGCGGAAGCCUGAUGCAGCAACGCCGCGUGCGGGAUGACGGCCUUCGGGUUGUAAACCGCUUUCAGCAGGGGCGAAGCUUGUGGUGACGGUACCUGCAGAAGAAGCACCGGCUAACUACGUG
RNAcentral lists this ribosomal RNA (465 nucleotides) under uncultured bacterium. RNAcentral describes it as "partial 16S ribosomal RNA". It matches the Rfam family "Bacterial small subunit ribosomal RNA", at positions 28 to 507 of the family's 1533-position model. The record is from RNAcentral.